AAGUCGUAACAAGGUUUUGCUAAGCAACAGUCCUUCUGUAGCAGAGCUUAACGGAGACCUUGCACCCCGAGAGGGGGGGAGGCGACUAUAAACAAGCUUCCAGCGCAAGUCAGCACCGCUGGCAACACAAUCGAAUUGCGGGGACGCUUUAAAAGCCCACCGGUACCAACAGCCAUUCUAGAGGCUGGGCGAGCAUAGCUCGAGGUUACAACCCCCGUGGGAUGGUACAAUAAGCAAUCCGCAGCGGCCGAGCCGUCCACAGACUAAGUGGUUGUGGGUAGGAGAACCCUAUCUAAGAUAUAGUCGGGCCCUGAGGAGAGAUCCCCGGGGCUUCUGCGUCCGUAGGUGAACCUGCGGAAGGAUCAUUAAUAAGGAUACCGGGAAACCGGUAGACCCACCCGUGUCUAUCUACUCUUGUUGCUUUGGCAGGCCGUGGCCUCCACCGUGGGCUCUGCUUGCGUGUGCCUGCCAGAGGACCAACUCUGAAUUUUAGUGAUGUCUGAGUACUAUAUAAUAGUUAAAA
This 523-nucleotide unclassified non-coding RNA is filed under the name plant metagenome. RNAcentral's name for it is "partial contains small subunit ribosomal RNA and internal transcribed spacer 1". The stretch from base 25 to 328 matches the Rfam family "Group I catalytic intron". From Rfam's summary of the family: Group I catalytic introns are large self-splicing ribozymes. The record is from RNAcentral.